Papaver somniferum (opium poppy) is the source of this 354-nucleotide long non-coding RNA. RefSeq lists it as uncharacterized. Lineage: Eukaryota; Viridiplantae; Streptophyta; Magnoliopsida; Ranunculales; Papaveraceae. The record is from RefSeq and is a predicted model, not a curated record. The transcript has 2 exons.
AGGCUUGACGCUGCAGCAGUUGCCUUUUCCGAUGGUUUGAAACUGGAUCCUGAAAGUAAAGAGCUUCAAGAAGCAUUCAGGGAGGUGACUUUAGACAGGUUGAAGGCCGUCAAUGUCUAGCAUUAGAUAGAAAGGCAGCUCAUUCUGAAACCCUUUUCUGGUGGAAGUUUUCGAAAGGUUAUGUAUAAAGUUAAAAACUUGCCAACCUAGCUCUGAAAGUAUGUUAAAGAGCAGGUCUUUUGAAGCAUUGGGCUAGUCUUCUUAUGUAUAUAGCCAACUUACUAUGCUGCGAGAUUUCUUAGCAUCGAUUUUGAAAUCCUGCUUUGGCAGUAUAAGAAUGAAAUCCUAGUUUUA